UGUUGGUGAAAUCUUGGUCAGGGAUGC
Molecule: small RNA, 27 nt
Filed under: Bombyx mori (domestic silkworm)
Lineage: Eukaryota; Metazoa; Arthropoda; Insecta; Lepidoptera; Bombycidae
Description: ovarian small RNA-36185
Source: RNAcentral